Molecule: ribosomal RNA, 275 nt
Filed under: uncultured bacterium
Lineage: Bacteria
Description: partial 16S ribosomal RNA
Rfam family: Bacterial small subunit ribosomal RNA
Source: RNAcentral
CUAAGUUUGAUGGCGACCGGCGCACGGGUGAGUAACACGUAUCCAACCUGCCGAUGACUCGGGGAUAGCCUUUCGAAAGAAAGAUUAAUACCCGAUGGCAUAGUUCUUCCGCAUGGUAGAACUAUUAAAGAAUUUCGGUCAUCGAUGGGGAUGCGUUCCAUUAGUGUGUUGGCGGGGUAACGGCCCACCAAGACUACGAUGGAUAGGGGUUCUGAGAGGAAGGUCCCCCACAUUGGAACUGAGACACGGUCCAAACUCCUACGGGAGGCAGCAUG